UGCAAUAUCUCUGUAGGAUGAAGGUAAAUCCAAUGGCUUAGGUCUCUGUAUCCUCAGUGGACUGAAGAAAUGAGAUGAGAUCAUAAACCACACAGAAAAUCCUGAAGGUACUGGAGCAGAGUGGGAUAGAAUAGAACAAGAUCUUCCAGACCCCAGAAGAAAUCUCUAGUAAUUAAAAUACUUUAUGAAGUACAGAAAAUAGGGCAGGACUUCUCUUGAAAAGGCCAGCUAGUCCCAGAGGGAAAAUACAAAGUCCAUGAUAUGCUUUGUGUGAAGUCUGAUAGAAGUUUCCAGAAUCAGCAUGUUUACACUACAGUAGUUCCUGGGAUGUAAAUCAGGAUUGAGGCCCCAUUGUGGUAGAUACUCCACAGACUCAUAUCAUCUGAACACAUGGACUCUGCUCCAAAUAGAUCGUGAAUCAUCAGCCCCUGAAGAACAAAGAAAGCAGCAUUGGAGUGUUGGGAAAUCCAGACUGAAAGAGGUUCAGCUAGUCAGACUACUGGAAUAUGUGUUCGCACACGACGGCGCAGGGAGGAAGACCUGUGAAGAGAAGAACAAAGUUGUGAGCUUACCUGUUUGGAAGUCCCAUCCACAGGAGCCUGCUGUCACUGCCUGCAUCUGGUGCUUCAUCCUGUCAUGUCAGUGGAUGUCUAUAACCAAGCUGCAAGAUAUGUUAAAGAGCCAUCUCUCCUCUGAUUACCUGUCCUGUCUGGGUCAGGGCUUUAAGGUUUUUACAGCUGUAGCUGGGUUUG
This is a long non-coding RNA of Gopherus flavomarginatus (Mexican gopher tortoise), 752 nucleotides long. RefSeq lists it as uncharacterized. The transcript is spliced from 5 exons. The record is from RefSeq and is a predicted model, not a curated record. NCBI's taxonomy places the organism in Eukaryota, Metazoa, Chordata, Testudines, Testudinidae.